RNAcentral lists this long non-coding RNA (222 nucleotides) under Elaeis guineensis (African oil palm). RNAcentral describes it as "long non-coding RNA (EGUI_LNC014342)". Lineage: Eukaryota; Viridiplantae; Streptophyta; Magnoliopsida; Arecales; Arecaceae. The record is from RNAcentral.
UUCCCCCCUCCUUUCUCUCUUUCCUUCCUCCCUCCCCACUACCGACACCCUCCCUGGCCCUAGAGCCCAUCCCUGCUGGCCCGAUCAUAGUCACCACUGACCCGGCCUGGCCCCAUCCCCGUCGGCCCCCCGGUGGCCCAAGAAAACACCAAAAAAAACAAAUCGGUUGCCACCGGCCCGGUCACAGUCGCCAUCGGCUCGGCCCGAUCCAACCCAUCCCUA